GACGAACGCUGGCGGCGUGCUUAACACAUGCAAGUCGAACGAAGUGGCGAACGGGUGAGUAACGCGUAAUCAACCUGCCCUUCAGAGGGGGACAACAGUUGGAAACGACUGCUAAUACCGCAUACUGAAGGAGGGGAUUGCGUCUGAUUAACUAGUUGGAGGGGUAACGGCCCACCAAGGCGAUGAUCAGUAGCCGGGCUGAGCGGAGCAACGGACACAUUGGGACUGAGACAAGGGCCAGACACCUACGGGAGGGAGCCAUGGGGAAUCUUCCGCAAUGGACGAAAGUCUGACGGAGCAACGCCGCCUGAGUGAUGACGGCCUUUGGGUUGUAAAGCUCUGUUAAUCGGGACGCGGUACCGGAAUAGAAAGCCACGGCUAACUACGUGCCAGCAGCCGCGGUAAUUC
Molecule: ribosomal RNA, 408 nt
Filed under: uncultured bacterium
Lineage: Bacteria
Description: partial 16S ribosomal RNA
Rfam family: Bacterial small subunit ribosomal RNA
Source: RNAcentral